This 564-nucleotide long non-coding RNA is filed under the name Vigna radiata. RNAcentral's name for it is "long non-coding RNA (VRAD_LNC006788)". The record is from RNAcentral. Lineage: Eukaryota; Viridiplantae; Streptophyta; Magnoliopsida; Fabales; Fabaceae.
GGGGGACAAUAAACACACCAUAAACAGACCAUAAACAACUAAAACAACUUUAUAUGGGGACCAUAAACACAACAUAAACAAAUAAUUUCACACAACAUAAUGGAGGACCACAACGAAAAUAACACACCACAAAGAAAGAAACAACAAAUAUAAUGGGGGAUAAUAAAGAAACAAACCAAAUAAAAAUCAAACUUUUUGGGGGGGACCGCAACGAAAGCAACCAUACACAGAACAAAAGGUAUCAUAUAUGCACCUUCGAAUGGAACAAACUUCACUUUUCGAAAUACCCCACCAACACCAACACUGCCAAAUGCGCUUCCAAAUCCCCAAAUGCAGUUCUGCGAACAAAACACUCAAUUGCGUGUGAUUAUGUGUUCAUAAUGUAGAUGAAGAAAUGUGUACGAUCAUGAACUCAACAAUGCUCUAUCACAAAUGUCCUAAUUUCCUCUCCUUCAGAAAACCCCUAAUUUUAUUAAUGUUUAAUUUUUCCUAAUUCUAUUAUGCCAUUAUUUACUUUCCACUUUAACCUCUAAUUCACUCACACGUCACAACCUAUAUUCCCAC